UUAAUAAAUUAAUAAGUUAUAUUUAAUAAAAAUAAUUUUAAUUUAAUAAAUAUUUUAAUGGGGGUUAAAGUAUUUUUUAUAGAAAAAAUUUUUAAAUUUAUAGUUUAUUAGUAUUGUGAAAGAAUUUUGAAAUAAUUGAAAAUAUAAUUUUAAUAAAGUAAUUUUUAUUUAAUGUAUCUUGUGUAUCAGAGUUUAUUUAAAAUUUAUAAUGUUUAUUUUCUCGAAUUUAAAAGAGUUAAAUAAUUAUUAAAGUUAUUGUAGCAAAAAUAUUUUAAAUAAUUAUUUAGAAAUGAAAUGUUAAUCGUUUUUAAAUAUAUCUAGUUUUUAUAGAAAAAAUUUUAAUUUUAAAUUUAAUUUAUUAUUAAUUAAUUAAUUAAUUAAAUAAUCAUUUAAAUUUUAUAUUUUAAGGGAUAAGCUUUAAAUUAAAUUUUUAUAAUUAAAAUAAUUUAUUUUUGAAAAUUUUAUGAUUUAUAUUGUUAAUAAAUUUUAUUUUAUUAUAAAUAAUUUCAUUAUAAUAUAAAAUUUAAAUUUUUAUUUAAUUUUUUAUAUAAAAUUUAUUUUUAAUUAUAAAAAAUUAGUUAUAAUGAUAAAAUUAGUAUAUUUAUAAUUAUUUUUAAUUAAUUUAAUUAAUUAAAAGGAAUUCGGCAAAUAUUUAUUUUCACUUGUUUAUCAAAAACAUGUCUUUUUGUUUAUAUAAAGUCUAAUCUGCCCACUGAUAUUAAAGGGCUGCAGUAUUUUGACUGUACAAAGGUAGCAUAAUCAUUAGUCUCUUAAUUGGUGACUUGUAUGAAAGAUUGGAUGAGAAAUAUACUGUCUCUUAAUUAAUAUAUAGAAUUUAAUUUUUUAUUUAAAAAGUUAAAAUAAAUUAAAAAGACGAGAAGACCCUAUAGAGUUUAAUAAAAAUAAUUUUAUAAAUUAAUUUAUUUUAUUGGGGUGAUAGAAAAAUAAAUUUAACUUUUUUUAAAAAUUUAACAAAAAUAAAUGAUUAUUUGAUCCAAUUUAUUAUUGAUUAUAAGAUUAAAUUACCUUAGGGAUAACAGCGUAAUUUUUUUUUUUAGUUCAAAUAGUAAAAAAAGUUUGCGACCUCGAUGUUGGAUUAAGAUAAAAUUUAAAUGCAAAAGUUUAAAAUUUUUGAUCUGUUCGAUCAUUAAAAUCU
RNAcentral lists this ribosomal RNA (1156 nucleotides) under Biston bengaliaria. RNAcentral describes it as "partial 16S ribosomal RNA". The record is from RNAcentral. Lineage: Eukaryota; Metazoa; Arthropoda; Insecta; Lepidoptera; Geometridae.